RNAcentral lists this ribosomal RNA (397 nucleotides) under uncultured bacterium. RNAcentral's name for it is "bacterial SSU rRNA". It matches the Rfam family "Bacterial small subunit ribosomal RNA", at positions 359 to 775 of the family's 1533-position model. The record is from RNAcentral.
GAAUCUUCCACAAUGGGCGAAAGCCUGAUGGAGCGACGCCGCGUGAGGGAUGAAGGCCUUAGGGUUGUAAACCUCUAAAAGAGGGACGAUAAUGACGGUACCUCUUGAAUAGCACCGGCUAACUCCGUGCCAGCAGCCGCGGUAAUACGGAGGGUGCAAGCGUUAUCCGGAAUCACUGGGCGUAAAGGGCGCGUAGGCGGUUUGUUAAGUCCGAUGUUAAAUCCCGAGGCUCAACCUCGGAUCAGCGUUGGAUACUGGCAGGCUCGACGGUUGGAGAGGCGAGUGGAAUUACCAGUGUAGCGGUGGAAUGCGUAGAUACUGGUAGGAACACCCAUUGCGAAGGCAGCUCGCUGGACAACACGUGACGCUGAGGCGCGAAAGUGUGGGGAGCAAACCG